This 253-nucleotide ribosomal RNA is filed under the name uncultured bacterium. RNAcentral describes it as "partial 16S ribosomal RNA". It matches the Rfam family "Bacterial small subunit ribosomal RNA", at positions 524 to 776 of the family's 1533-position model. The record is from RNAcentral.
UACAGAGGGUGCAAGCGUUGUUCGGAAUUAUUGGGCGUAAAGCGCGUGUAGGCGGCUUUGCAAGUCGGGUGUGAAAGCCCUCAGCUUAACUGAGGAAGUGCGCCCGAAACUGCAUAGCUUGAGUACCGGAGAGGAUGGCGGAAUUCCCCAAGUAGAGGUGAAAUUCGUAGAUAUGGGGAGGAACACCGGUGGCGAAGGCGGCCAUCUGGACGGAUACUGACGCUGAGACGCGAAAGCGUGGGUAGCAAACAGG